UAGUACGAGAGGACCGGGAUGGACAUACCUCUGGUGUACCAGUUGUUCUGCCAAGAGCACCGCUGGGUAGCUACGUAUGGAUUAGAUAAUCGCUGAAAGCAUCUAAGUGAGAAACUAACCUCGAGAUGAGAUUUCCCAUUCGUCAGAAGUAAGACCCCUGAGAGACGAUCAGGUAGAUAGGCUAGAAGUGGAAGUGUAGUGAUGCAUGGAGCGGACUAGUACUAAUAGGUCGAGGACUUAACCAAG
Molecule: ribosomal RNA, 246 nt
Filed under: Oenococcus oeni
Lineage: Bacteria; Bacillati; Bacillota; Bacilli; Lactobacillales; Lactobacillaceae
Description: partial 23S ribosomal RNA
Rfam family: Bacterial large subunit ribosomal RNA
Source: RNAcentral